UAAUGGGGACGGACUGUAAAUCCGCUGGCAAUGCCUACGCUGGUUCAAAUCCAGCUCGGCCCAA
RNAcentral lists this transfer RNA (64 nucleotides) under Rhynchostegium riparioides. Its description in RNAcentral is "tRNA-Tyr". It matches the Rfam family "tRNA", at positions 19 to 71 of the family's 71-position model. Rfam says of the family: Transfer RNA (tRNA) molecules are approximately 80 nucleotides in length. Their secondary structure includes four short double-helical elements and three loops (D, anti-codon, and T loops). Lineage: Eukaryota; Viridiplantae; Streptophyta; Bryopsida; Hypnales; Brachytheciaceae. The record is from RNAcentral.